ACGAACGCUGGCGGCAUGCCUAACACAUGCCAGUCGAACGAGACCUUCGGGUCUAGUGGCGCACGGGUGCGUAACGCGUGGGAACCUGCCCUUAGGUUCGGAAUAACUCCCCGAAAGGGGUGCUAAUACCGGAUAAUGUCUUCGGACCAAAGAUUUAUCGCCUUUGGAUGGGCCCGCGUUGGAUUAGCUAGUUGGUAGGGUAAAAGCCUACCAAGGCGACGAUCCAUAGCUGGUCUGAGAGGAUGAUCAGCCACACUGGGACUGAGACACGGCCCAGACUCCUACGGGAGGCAGCAGUGGGGAAUAUUGGACAAUGGGCGAAAGCAUGAUCCGGCAAUGCCGCGUGAGUGAUGAAGGCCUUAGGGUUGUAAAGCUCUUUUACCCGGGAUGAUAAUGACAGUACCGGGAGAAUAAGCUCCGGCUAACUCCGUG
This 432-nucleotide ribosomal RNA is filed under the name uncultured bacterium. RNAcentral's name for it is "partial 16S ribosomal RNA". It matches the Rfam family "Bacterial small subunit ribosomal RNA", at positions 29 to 507 of the family's 1533-position model. The record is from RNAcentral.